Molecule: ribosomal RNA, 429 nt
Filed under: Bacteroidota bacterium
Lineage: Bacteria; Pseudomonadati; Bacteroidota
Description: Bacteroidetes bacterium partial 16S ribosomal RNA
Rfam family: Bacterial small subunit ribosomal RNA
Source: RNAcentral
UAGGGAAUCUUCCGCAAUGGACGCAAGUCUGACGGAGCAACGCCGCGUGAGUGAAGAAGGAUUUCGGUUCGUAAAACUCUGUUGUUAGAGAAGAACAGCGCAUAGAGUAACUGUUAUGCGUGUGACGGUAUCUAACCAGAAAGCCACGGCUAACUACGUGCCAGCAGCCGCGGUAAUACGUAGGUGGCAAGCGUUGUCCGGAUUUAUUGGGCGUAAAGCGAGCGCAGGCGGUCAAUUAAGUCUGAUGUGAAAGCCCCCGGCUCAACCGGGGAGGGUCAUUGGAAACUGGUUGACUUGAGUGCAGAAGAGGAGAGUGGAAUUCCAGGUGUAACGGUGAAAUGCGUAGAUAUAUGGAGGAACACCAGUGGCGAAGGCGACUCUCUGGUCUGUAACUGACGCGGAGGCUCGAAAGCGUGGGUAGCAAACAGG